CCUACGGGUGGCAGCAGUGGGGAAUAUUGCACAAUGGGGGAAACCCUGAUGCAGCGACGCCGCGUGAGUGAAGAAGUAAUUAGUUACGUAAAGCUCUAUCAGCAGGGAAGAAACACUGACCUUACGGUCAGCAGACGGUACCUGAGUAAGAAGCCCCGUCUAACUACGUGCCAGCAGCCGCGGUAAUACGAAGGGGGCAAGCGUUAUCCGGAUUUACUGGGUGUAAAGGGAGCGUAGACGGUGCGCCAAGUCUGGAGGGAAAUGCCGAAGCUUAACUGCGGAACUGCUGUGGAAACUGGCGAACUAGAGUGCGGGAGGGGUAAGCGGAAUUCCUAGUGUAGCGGUGAAAUGCGUAGAUAUUAGGAGGAACACCGGUGGCGAAGGCGGCUUACUGGACCGUAACUGACGUUGAGGCUCGAAAGCGUGGGGAGCAAACAGGAUUAGAUACCCGGGUAGUC
RNAcentral lists this ribosomal RNA (458 nucleotides) under uncultured bacterium. RNAcentral describes it as "partial 16S ribosomal RNA". It matches the Rfam family "Bacterial small subunit ribosomal RNA", at positions 338 to 795 of the family's 1533-position model. The record is from RNAcentral.